This 243-nucleotide ribosomal RNA is filed under the name uncultured bacterium. RNAcentral describes it as "partial 16S ribosomal RNA". It matches the Rfam family "Bacterial small subunit ribosomal RNA", at positions 524 to 765 of the family's 1533-position model. The record is from RNAcentral.
UACGAAGGGGGGCUAGCGUUGCUCGGAAUCACUGGGCGUAAAGGGUGCGUAGGCGGGUCUUUAAGUCAGGGGUGAAAUCCUGGAGCUCAACUCCAGAACUGCCUUUGAUACUGAAGAUCUUGAGUUCGGGAGAGGUGAGUGGAACUGCGAGUGUAGAGGUGAAAUUCGUAGAUAUUCGCAAGAACACCAGUGGCGAAGGCGGCUCACUGGCCCGAUACUGACGCUGAGGUGCGAAAGCGUGGA